RNAcentral lists this ribosomal RNA (187 nucleotides) under Morganella morganii. RNAcentral's name for it is "partial 16S ribosomal RNA". It matches the Rfam family "Bacterial small subunit ribosomal RNA", at positions 1 to 181 of the family's 1533-position model. The record is from RNAcentral. Lineage: Bacteria; Pseudomonadati; Pseudomonadota; Gammaproteobacteria; Enterobacterales; Morganellaceae. RNAcentral also lists the same sequence under 1 other name.
UAAUUGAAGAGUUUGAUCAUGGCUCAGAUUGAACGCUGGCGGCAGGCCUAACACAUGCAAGUCGGGCGGUAACAGGGAGAAGCUUGCUUCUCUGCUGACGAGCGGCGGACGGGUGAGUAAUGUAUGGGGAUCUGCCUGAUGGCGGGGGAUAACUACUGGAAACGGUAGCUAAUACCGCAUAAUGUCU